GGUGUUUGGCACCUCGAUGUCGGCUCAUCUCAUCCUGGGGCUGAAGCAGGUCCCAAGGGUAUGGCUGUUCGCCAUUUAAAGAGGUACGCGAGCUGGGUUUAGAACGUCGUGAGACAGUUCGGUCCCUAUCUGCCGUGGGCGUUUGAGAAUUGAAGGGAGCUGCUCCUAGUACGAGAGGACCGGAGUGGACGUACCCCUGGUGUUCCGGUUGUCACGCCAGUGGCAUUGCCGGGUAGCUACGUACGGAACCGAUAACCGCUGAAAGCAUCUAAGCGGGAAGCGGCACCUAAGAUUAGUUCUCACUGGAACUUUAAGUUCCUUGUAGGUCCGUCGAAGACUACGACGUUGAUAGGCAGGGUGUUGAAGCRCAGUAAUGUGUGAAGCUAACCUGUACUAAUUGACCGUAAGGCUUGACCAUAUAACCCCAAG
This 429-nucleotide ribosomal RNA is filed under the name Gammaproteobacteria bacterium. RNAcentral's name for it is "bacterial LSU rRNA". It matches the Rfam family "Bacterial large subunit ribosomal RNA", at positions 2513 to 2925 of the family's 2925-position model. Lineage: Bacteria; Pseudomonadati; Pseudomonadota; Gammaproteobacteria. The record is from RNAcentral.